AGUGUGAGGGACUCAUUUUAAACGUCUUUUCAAAGAAAUGAUCAAACACAUGUAGAGAUUCAGCUCAGCUUUAUGUCACAUCAAUGUCCAUGUUCCUGUGUGAAGAAGUGUGAGCUGUCAGAGUGGAAAGAAUGAACGCUGUCAGAGUCUUUCUGAGGUGAAGAAGCUGCAGGACACCAGCUGCUCCAGCAGGUGGCGACUUUGUGCUUUGUUUCUAACAGUGUAGCAGGAACUUCCUCUCAGGUAGCAGGUGCUGCUGCAUGGAGGAGGACAGAUAGUUUUCUGAGCAUGAACGCUGCUUUAAUGUCCUGGACAGAUAUGAGGCUUCGUGAAGGCUUCUGGCUUGUUUCUAGGGAUUGUUGCAUUGACAAACUGAAGAACAUGUUCUGUGAUCAAUCAGCUUAAAGCCAGAAGGAAGAAGUUUGGACUUUCUUGUUGCAGAGGAGGCCUCAGGUCCAGGACGUCUGUGCAGCUCCUCAGAGGCUGGAGGUUGAAGCUCAGCUGCUGCUCAUGUUGUUGUGUUGUAAUGCAGGAUUUCUGGCUCAUUAGCUGCAACAGGAAGCUGCUGUUAUGUCCAAGGCCAAGAGAUAUCUUUAAUGAACUCAUUAAAUGCUCAUUCAUUCAUAUCCAGUGGAGGUAGAGGGUCCUGGAUGCUGCUGCAUCACAUCAGCAGCUCUGAUGGAUAAACUUAUUGGUUUAUUGUUCUUAGGGCUGAACAGUUUCUGAGUGACGGCAGCCUGCAGACACAGAGGACCAGUGACGGAGAAGCAGCCCAGGAUUUUCUAUGUUUCUGCUCAAACCCAGACAGCAGAGAUCUGUACUGGUGGGAAGAAGCUGAGUGGAGUCCUGACUGUUUCCAGGAAACAGAUCACCUGUCUGAGCGUCCAGGAGUGGACUGGAAACUUUCUUCUUCUUCUUCAGCGCUUUGAAUAAAGUGGAGACACGAUGACAUCAGAGGUGCUCUUGAACAUCCUGGAUGAUCUGGAUGAUGAUCAGCUGUCUAAAUUCCAGUGGUUCCUGCAGAAACCCAACAAUGUUCAAGGCCUCCCAGCCAUCACAAAGAGCCGACUACAGACACUAGACAGGUGUAAAACUGUGGAUGUGAUGGUGGAGACUUAUGGACUUCAGAGAGCUGUGCAGGUGACCAGGGUGGUUUUAGAGAAGAUCUCCAGGAAUGAUCUGCUGCAGAGGUUUCCUGCCAGCAGCUCAGGACCAGAAGGUCAGUCACAAGACAAGAACAACAUGAUAUCAUUACAGUCAGAAAGAUGCAUGAUGGUGCUGCUACAGUUUGAUAGAGUUCAGGUUCUGUCAGUUUUUCCUGAGUCCACAUGUAAGGUCAGUUCCUCUGUAAAAUCUACUGAUCAACCUACUGACUGAAUGCUGCCCCC
Molecule: RNA transcript, 1388 nt
Organism: Amphiprion ocellaris (clown anemonefish)
Lineage: Eukaryota; Metazoa; Chordata; Actinopteri; Pomacentridae
Gene name: transcription activator BRG1-like
Exons: 4
Source: RefSeq, a predicted model, not a curated record